AACGCGAAGAACCUUACCAAGGUUUGACAUCCCUCUGGAUGGUGCAGAGAUGUGCCAGGCUCCUUCGGGAGACAGAGGAGACAGGUGGUGCAUGGUUGUCGUCAGCUCGUGUCGUGAGAUGUUGGGUUAAGUCCCGCAACGAGCGCAACCCUUAUCGUUAGUAGCCAGCAAGUGAAGUUGGGGACCCUAGCGAGACUGCCGUGGAUAACACGGAGGAAGGCGGGGACGACGUCAAAUCAUCAUGCCCCUUAUAUCUUGGGCAACACACGUGCUACAAUGGCUCAAACAAAGUGAAGCGAGACAGUGAUGUUAAGCAAACCACAAAAAAGGAGUCCCAGUUCGGAUUGUAGUCUGCAACCCGACUACAUGAAGUUGGAAUCGCUAGUAAUCGCGGAUCAGCAUGCCGCGGUGAAUACGUUCCCGGGUCUUGUACACACCG
RNAcentral lists this ribosomal RNA (439 nucleotides) under uncultured bacterium. Its description in RNAcentral is "bacterial SSU rRNA". It matches the Rfam family "Bacterial small subunit ribosomal RNA", at positions 958 to 1392 of the family's 1533-position model. The record is from RNAcentral.